RNAcentral lists this microRNA precursor (70 nucleotides) under Oryctes borbonicus. RNAcentral's name for it is "mir-10 microRNA precursor family". It matches the Rfam family "mir-10 microRNA precursor family". From Rfam's summary of the family: In this case the mature sequence comes from the 5' arm of the precursor. The extents of the hairpin precursors are not generally known and are estimated based on hairpin prediction. The products are thought to have regulatory roles through complementarity to mRNA. The record is from Rfam by way of RNAcentral. Lineage: Eukaryota; Metazoa; Arthropoda; Insecta; Coleoptera; Scarabaeidae.
UAAUAAUAACCCGUAGAUCCGAACUUGUGUAGUAUUUAAUCACAAGUUCGUAUGAAGCGGGACUUAUUGU